This 253-nucleotide ribosomal RNA is filed under the name uncultured bacterium. Its description in RNAcentral is "partial 16S ribosomal RNA". It matches the Rfam family "Bacterial small subunit ribosomal RNA", at positions 524 to 776 of the family's 1533-position model. The record is from RNAcentral.
UACGGGGGGGGCAAGCGUUGUUCGGAAUUACUGGGCGUAAAGGGCGCGUAGGCGGCCCUCUAAGUCGAACGUGAAAUCCCCGGGCUCAACCCGGGAACUGCGUCCGAUACUGGAAGGCUUGAAUCCGGGAGAGGGAUGCGGAAUUCCAGGUGUAGCGGUGAAAUUCGUAGAUAUCGGGAGGAACACCGGUGGCGAAGGCGGCGACCUGGGUCGAGACUGACGCUGAGGCGCGAAAGCGUGGGGAGCAAACAGG